CGCAGCUGAUCCAGCCAUGCCGCGUGUGUGAAGAAGGCCUUAUGGUUGUAAAGCACUUUAAGCGAGGAGGAGGCUACUUUAGAUAAUACCUAGAGAUAGUGGACGUUACUCGCAGAAUAAGCACCGGCUAACUCUGUGCCAGCAGCCGCGGUAAUACAGAGGGUGCAAGCGUUAAUCGGAUUUACUGGGCGUAAAGCGCGCGUAGGCGGCUAAUUAAGUCAAAUGUGAAAUCCCCGAGCUUAACUUGGGAAUUGCAUUCGAUACUGGUUAGCUAGAGUGUGGGAGAGGAUGGUAGAAUUCCAGGUGUAGCGGUGAAAUGCGUAGAGAUCUGGAGGAAUACCGAUGGCGAAGGCAGCCAUCUGGCCUAACACUGACGCUGAGGUGCGAAAGCAUGGGGAGCAAACAGGAUUAGAUACCCUGGUAGUCCAUGCCGUAAACGAUGUCUACUAGCCGUUGGGGCCUUUGAGGCUUUAGUGGCGCAGCUAACGCGAUAAGUAGACCGNCUGGGGAGUACGGUCGCAAGACUAAAACUCA
This 534-nucleotide ribosomal RNA is filed under the name uncultured bacterium. Its description in RNAcentral is "bacterial SSU rRNA". It matches the Rfam family "Bacterial small subunit ribosomal RNA", at positions 378 to 903 of the family's 1533-position model. The record is from RNAcentral.